AAAUAAGGAAAGCUGAAUCUAGAUUUACCUAGAACGGGGGAUCUUUUUAUGGGGUGAAACGCGUACCACGCGUCGGGCUAACACCUUGUGUCCGAAUCCGUCAACUAACCUCGUAAGCUAAGAAGGGUGUAACU
RNAcentral lists this small RNA (134 nucleotides) under Desulfosporosinus sp. RNAcentral's name for it is "c-di-AMP sequence". It matches the Rfam family "c-di-AMP riboswitch aptamer (ydaO/yuaA leader)". Rfam says of the family: This family represents a conserved RNA structure found upstream of the ydaO and yuaA genes in Bacillus subtilis and related genes in other bacteria. The ydaO/yuaA element is thought to act as a genetic "off" switch for the ydaO and yuaA genes in its native state. The record is from RNAcentral. Lineage: Bacteria; Bacillati; Bacillota; Clostridia; Eubacteriales; Desulfitobacteriaceae.